ACUCCCCAAACCCCUGUGAACAUACCGUACGUUGCCUCGGCGGGGGGGCGCUCCCCCGCCCGCCGGCGGCCCACGAAACUCUGCUUUGCCCUGAAUCUCUGAAACGACAAACUAAAUCAGUUAAAACUUUCAACAACGGAUCUCUUGGUUCUGGCAUCGAUGAAGAACGCAGCGAAAUGCGAUACGUAGUGUGAAUUGCAGAAUUCAGUGAAUCAUCGAAUCUUUGAACGCACAUUGCGCCUGCUAGUAUUCUGGCGGGCAUGCCUGUUCGAGCGUCAUUUCAACCCCUUAAGCCCCCGUUGCUUAGUGUUGGGAGCCCACGGCCACCCCGCCGUCGCUCCUCAAAUCCAGUGGCGGAGCCGGUUCGCGCUCUAGGCGUAGUAGAUUUUCUCCAUCUCGCCUACGGCCGGGCCGGCCCUCCUGCCGUAAAAGAACCCCCCCUCCACAGAAGGUUGACCUCGAAUCAGGUAGGAAUACCCGCUGAACUUAAGCAUAUCAAUAAGCGGAGGAA
Molecule: ribosomal RNA, 511 nt
Filed under: Coniolariella hispanica
Lineage: Eukaryota; Fungi; Ascomycota; Sordariomycetes; Xylariales; Xylariaceae
Description: eukaryotic LSU rRNA
Rfam family: 5.8S ribosomal RNA (bases 125-278)
Source: RNAcentral